UUAGCUCAGCUGGUAGAGCUCCCGUCUUGUAAACGGAAGGUCGUCGGUUCGAACCCGACA
This 60-nucleotide transfer RNA is filed under the name Xylanimonas oleitrophica. RNAcentral's name for it is "Isoptericola sp. PW21 tRNA-Thr". It matches the Rfam family "tRNA", at positions 7 to 64 of the family's 71-position model. Rfam says of the family: Transfer RNA (tRNA) molecules are approximately 80 nucleotides in length. Lineage: Bacteria; Bacillati; Actinomycetota; Actinomycetes; Micrococcales; Promicromonosporaceae. The record is from RNAcentral.